This 408-nucleotide ribosomal RNA is filed under the name uncultured bacterium. Its description in RNAcentral is "partial 16S ribosomal RNA". It matches the Rfam family "Bacterial small subunit ribosomal RNA", at positions 28 to 526 of the family's 1533-position model. The record is from RNAcentral.
GACGAACGCUGGCGGCGUGCUUAACACAUGCAAGUCGAACGAAGUGGCGCACGGGUGAGUAACGCGUAAUCAACCUGCCCUUCAGUGGGGUACAACAGUUGGAAACGACUGCUAAUACCGCAUACUGAAGGAGGGGAUUGCGUCUGAUUUGCUAGUUGGAGGGGUAACGGCCCACCAAGGCGAUGAUCAGUAGCCGGGCUGAGAGGAUGAACGGCCACAUUGGGACUGAGACACGGCCCAGACUCCUACGGGAGGCAGCAGUGGGGAAUCUUCCGCAAUGGAGGAAAGUCUGACGGAGCAACGCCGCGUGAGGGAUGACGGCCUUCGGGGUGUAAAGCUCUGUUAAUCGGGACGCGGUACCGGAAUAGAAAGCCACGGCUAACUACGUGCCAGCCGCCGCGGUAAUUC